GCUGGGCAUGGUGGCGCAUGCCUGUAAUCCCAGCUACUAGGGAGGCUGAAGCAGGAGAAUCACUUGAACCCAGGAGGCAGAGGUUGCAGUGAGCGGAAACCGUGCCACUGCACUCCAGCCUGGGUGACAGAGUGAAACUCUGCCUCAA
Unclassified non-coding RNA from Macaca fascicularis (crab-eating macaque), 148 nucleotides. It matches the Rfam family "Metazoan signal recognition particle RNA". Rfam says of the family: The signal recognition particle (SRP) is a universally conserved ribonucleoprotein. It is involved in the co-translational targeting of proteins to membranes. The eukaryotic SRP consists of a 300-nucleotide 7S RNA and six proteins: SRPs 72, 68, 54, 19, 14, and 9. NCBI's taxonomy places the organism in Eukaryota, Metazoa, Chordata, Mammalia, Primates, Cercopithecidae. The record is from Ensembl.